This 93-nucleotide transfer RNA is filed under the name Acidobacteriota bacterium. RNAcentral describes it as "Acidobacteria bacterium (marine metagenome) tRNA-Ser". It matches the Rfam family "tRNA". Rfam says of the family: Transfer RNA (tRNA) molecules are approximately 80 nucleotides in length. Their secondary structure includes four short double-helical elements and three loops (D, anti-codon, and T loops). RNAcentral also lists the same sequence under 2 other names. Lineage: Bacteria; Pseudomonadati; Acidobacteriota. The record is from RNAcentral.
GGUGAGGUGGCCGAGAGGCUGAAGGCGGCGGUUUGCUAAACCGUUGUAGGGUUUAUAGCUCUACCCAGGGUUCGAAUCCCUGCCUCACCGCCA